Molecule: ribosomal RNA, 2934 nt
Filed under: Escherichia coli
Lineage: Bacteria; Pseudomonadati; Pseudomonadota; Gammaproteobacteria; Enterobacterales; Enterobacteriaceae
Description: 23S ribosomal RNA
Rfam family: Bacterial large subunit ribosomal RNA
Source: RNAcentral
GGGUUGUGAGGUUAAGCGACUAAGCGUACACGGUGGAUGCCCUGGCAGUCAGAGGCGAUGAAGGACGUGCUAAUCUGCGAUAAGCGUCGGUAAGGUGAUAUGAACCGUUAUAACCGGCGAUUUCCGAAUGGGGAAACCCAGUGUGUUUCGACACACUAUCAUUAACUGAAUCCAUAGGUUAAUGAGGCGAACCGGGGGAACUGAAACAUCUAAGUACCCCGAGGAAAAGAAAUCAACCGAGAUUCCCCCAGUAGCGGCGAGCGAACGGGGAGCAGCCCAGAGCCUGAAUCAGUGUGUGUGUUAGUGGAAGCGUCUGGAAAGGCGCGCGAUACAGGGUGACAGCCCCGUACACAAAAAUGCACAUGCUGUGAGCUCGAUGAGUAGGGCGGGACACGUGGUAUCCUGUCUGAAUAUGGGGGGACCAUCCUCCAAGGCUAAAUACUCCUGACUGACCGAUAGUGAACCAGUACCGUGAGGGAAAGGCGAAAAGAACCCCGGCGAGGGGAGUGAAAAAGAACCUGAAACCGUGUACGUACAAGCAGUGGGAGCACAGAGCAAUCUGUGUGACUGCGUACCUUUUGUAUAAUGGGUCAGCGACUUAUAUUCUGUAGCAAGGUUAACCGAAUAGGGGAGCCGAAGGGAAACCGAGUCUUAACUGGGCGUUAAGUUGCAGGGUAUAGACCCGAAACCCGGUGAUCUAGCCAUGGGCAGGUUGAAGGUUGGGUAACACUAACUGGAGGACCGAACCGACUAAUGUUGAAAAAUUAGCGGAUGACUUGUGGCUGGGGGUGAAAGGCCAAUCAAACCGGGAGAUAGCUGGUUCUCCCCGAAAGCUAUUUAGGUAGCGCCUCGUGAAUUCAUCUCCGGGGGUAGAGCACUGUUUCGGCAAGGGGGUCAUCCCGACUUACCAACCCGAUGCAAACUGCGAAUACCGGAGAAUGUUAUCACGGGAGACACACGGCGGGUGCUAACGUCCGUCGUGAAGAGGGAAACAACCCAGACCGCCAGCUAAGGUCCCAAAGUCAUGGUUAAGUGGGAAACGAUGUGGGAAGGCCCAGACAGCCAGGAUGUUGGCUUAGAAGCAGCCAUCAUUUAAAGAAAGCGUAAUAGCUCACUGGUCGAGUCGGCCUGCGCGGAAGAUGUAACGGGGCUAAACCAUGCACCGAAGCUGCGGCAGCGACGCUUAUGCGUUGUUGGGUAGGGGAGCGUUCUGUAAGCCUGUGAAGGUGUGCUGUGAGGCAUGCUGGAGGUAUCAGAAGUGCGAAUGCUGACAUAAGUAACGAUAAAGCGGGUGAAAAGCCCGCUCGCCGGAAGACCAAGGGUUCCUGUCCAACGUUAAUCGGGGCAGGGUGAGUCGACCCCUAAGGCGAGGCCGAAAGGCGUAGUCGAUGGGAAACAGGUUAAUAUUCCUGUACUUGGUGUUACUGCGAAGGGGGGACGGAGAAGGCUAUGUUGGCCGGGCGACGGUUGUCCCGGUUUAAGCGUGUAGGCUGGUUUUCCAGGCAAAUCCGGAAAAUCAAGGCUGAGGCGUGAUGACGAGGCACUACGGUGCUGAAGCAACAAAUGCCCUGCUUCCAGGAAAAGCCUCUAAGCAUCAGGUAACAUCAAAUCGUACCCCAAACCGACACAGGUGGUCAGGUAGAGAAUACCAAGGCGCUUGAGAGAACUCGGGUGAAGGAACUAGGCAAAAUGGUGCCGUAACUUCGGGAGAAGGCACGCUGAUAUGUAGGUGAAGUCCCUCGCGGAUGGAGCUGAAAUCAGUCGAAGAUACCAGCUGGCUGCAACUGUUUAUUAAAAACACAGCACUGUGCAAACACGAAAGUGGACGUAUACGGUGUGACGCCUGCCCGGUGCCGGAAGGUUAAUUGAUGGGGUUAGCGGUAACGCGAAGCUCUUGAUCGAAGCCCCGGUAAACGGCGGCCGUAACUAUAACGGUCCUAAGGUAGCGAAAUUCCUUGUCGGGUAAGUUCCGACCUGCACGAAUGGCGUAAUGAUGGCCAGGCUGUCUCCACCCGAGACUCAGUGAAAUUGAACUCGCUGUGAAGAUGCAGUGUACCCGCGGCAAGACGGAAAGACCCCGUGAACCUUUACUAUAGCUUGACACUGAACAUUGAGCCUUGAUGUGUAGGAUAGGUGGGAGGCUUUGAAGUGUGGACGCCAGUCUGCAUGGAGCCGACCUUGAAAUACCACCCUUUAAUGUUUGAUGUUCUAACGUUGACCCGUAAUCCGGGUUGCGGACAGUGUCUGGUGGGUAGUUUGACUGGGGCGGUCUCCUCCUAAAGAGUAACGGAGGAGCACGAAGGUUGGCUAAUCCUGGUCGGACAUCAGGAGGUUAGUGCAAUGGCAUAAGCCAGCUUGACUGCGAGCGUGACGGCGCGAGCAGGUGCGAAAGCAGGUCAUAGUGAUCCGGUGGUUCUGAAUGGAAGGGCCAUCGCUCAACGGAUAAAAGGUACUCCGGGGAUAACAGGCUGAUACCGCCCAAGAGUUCAUAUCGACGGCGGUGUUUGGCACCUCGAUGUCGGCUCAUCACAUCCUGGGGCUGAAGUAGGUCCCAAGGGUAUGGCUGUUCGCCAUUUAAAGUGGUACGCGAGCUGGGUUUAGAACGUCGUGAGACAGUUCGGUCCCUAUCUGCCGUGGGCGCUGGAGAACUGAGGGGGGCUGCUCCUAGUACGAGAGGACCGGAGUGGACGCAUCACUGGUGUUCGGGUUGUCAUGCCAAUGGCACUGCCCGGUAGCUAAAUGCGGAAGAGAUAAGUGCUGAAAGCAUCUAAGCACGAAACUUGCCCCGAGAUGAGUUCUCCCUGACUCCUUGAGAGUCCUGAAGGAACGUUGAAGACGACGACGUUGAUAGGCCGGGUGUGUAAGCGCAGCGAUGCGUUGAGCUAACCGGUACUAAUGAACCGUGAGGCUUAACCUUACAACGCCGAAGCUGUU